Molecule: ribosomal RNA, 1675 nt
Filed under: metagenome
Description: bacterial LSU rRNA
Rfam family: Bacterial large subunit ribosomal RNA
Source: RNAcentral
UAGGUUAAUCCGCCCAGGGUUAGUCGGGACCUAAGGCGAGGCCGACAGGCGUAGUCGAUGGACAACGGGUUGAUAUUCCCGUACCCGUGUAUUCGCGCCAAUGGCGAAUCAGGAGUACUAACCGUCCAGACAGUGAGGGAUCUCCUUCGGGAGACCGGAUCCAGAUGCACGGGACCUUUCCUGGUAGUAGUCAAGCGAUGGGGUGACGCAGGAAGGUAGUGGGGCCAGUCAGUGGUAGUACUGGUGUAAGCCUGUAGGGAGUGACCUAGGCAAAUCCGGGUCGCACAUAUCCUGAGAGGUGAUGCGUAGCCGAAUGAGGCGAAUUCCAUGAUCCUAUGCUGCCGAGAAAAGCCUCUAGCGAGCUGAUACACGGCCCGUACCCCAAACCGACACAGGUGAUCAGGUAGAGAAUACUAAGGCGAUCGAGAGAACUGUGGUUAAGGAACUCGGCAAAAUGCCCCCGUAACUUCGGGAGAAGGGGGACCCCUGCUGGUGAUGGAACUUGCUUCCUGAGCUGGUGUGGGUCGCAGAGACCAGUGAGAAGCGACUGUUUACUAAAAACACAGGUCCGUGCGAAGUCGUAAGACUAUGUAUACGGACUGACGCCUCCCCGGUGCUGGAAGGUUAAGAGGACCGGUUAGCCAGUAAUGGCGAAGCUGAGAAUUUAAGCCCCAGUAAACGGCGGUGGUAACUUUAACCAUCCCAAGGUAGCGAAAUUCCUUGUCGGGUAAGUUCCGACCUGCACGAAUGGCGUAACGACUUCUCAGCUGUCUCAACCACAGACUCGGCGAAAUUGCAUUACGAGUAAAGAUGCUCGUUACGCGCGGCAGGACGAAAAGACCCCGGGACCUUCACUACAGCUUGGUAUUGGUGUUCGGUACGGUUUGUGUAGGAUAGGUGGGAGACUGUGAAGUGGGCACGCCAGUGUUCAUGGAGUCAUCGUUGAAAUACCACUCUGAUCGUAUUGGACUUCUGACCUCGGACCAUGAUCUGGUUCAGGGACAGUGCCUGGUGGGUAGUUUAACUGGGGCGGUUGCCUCCCAAAAUGUAACGGAGGCGCCCAAAGGUUCCCUCAGCCUGGUUGGCAAUCAGGUGUUGAGUGCAAGUGCACAAGGGAGCUUGACUGUGAGACUGACAGGUCGAGCAGGGACGAAAGUCGGGACUAGUGAUCCGGCACCGGCAAGUGGAAGCGGUGUCGCUCAACGGAUAAAAGGUACCCCGGGGAUAACAGGCUGAUCUUCCCCAAGAGUCCAUAUCGACGGGAUGGUUUGGCACCUCGAUGUCGGCUCGUCGCAUCCUGGGGCUGGAGUAGGUCCCAAGGGUUGGGCUGUUCGCCCAUUAAAGCGGCACGCGAGCUGGGUUUAGAACGUCGUGAGACAGUUCGGUCUCUAUCCGCCGCGCGCGUUAGAAACUUGAGGAAGGCUGUCCCUAGUACGAGAGGACCGGGACGGACGAACCUCUGGUGUGCCAGUUGUUCCACCAGGAGCACCGCUGGUUAGCUACGUUCGGAAGGGAUAACCGCUGAAAGCAUCUAAGCGGGAAGCCUGUUCCAAGAUGAGGUUUCUCACCCCCUUCGAGGGGGUAAGGCCCCCGGCAGACUACCGGGUUGAUAGGCCAGAACUGGAAGCCCAGCAAUGGGUGUAGGUGACUGGUACUAAUAGGCCGAGGACUUAUC